AACGAACGCUGGCGGCAUGCCUAACACAUGCAAGUCGAACGAGACCUUCGAGUCUAGUGGCCCACGGGUGCGUAACGCGUGGGAACCUGCCCUUAGGUUCGGAAUAACUCCCCGAAAGGGGUGCUAAUACCGGAUAAUGUCUUCGGACCAAAGAUUUAUCGCCUUUGGUUGGGCCCGCGUUGGAUUAGCUAGUUGGUAGGGUAAAAGCCUACCAAGGCGACGAUCCAUAGCUGGUCUGAGAGGAUGAUCAGCCACACUGGGACUGAGACACGGCCCAGACUCCUACGGGAGGGAGGAGUGGGGAAUAUUGGACAAUGGGCGAAAGCCUGAUCCAGCAAUGCCGCGUGAGUGAUGAAGGCCUUAGGGUUGUAAAGCUCUUUUACCCGGGAUGAUAAUGACAGUACCGGGAGAAUAAGCUCCGGCUAACUCCGUG
RNAcentral lists this ribosomal RNA (433 nucleotides) under uncultured bacterium. RNAcentral describes it as "partial 16S ribosomal RNA". It matches the Rfam family "Bacterial small subunit ribosomal RNA", at positions 29 to 507 of the family's 1533-position model. The record is from RNAcentral.